Long non-coding RNA from Sarcophilus harrisii (Tasmanian devil), 726 nucleotides. RefSeq lists it as uncharacterized. The record is from RefSeq and is a predicted model, not a curated record. The transcript has 3 exons. NCBI's taxonomy places the organism in Eukaryota, Metazoa, Chordata, Mammalia, Dasyuromorphia, Dasyuridae.
CGCCGGCCUGCGGAGGGGGCACAGGGGGCUGAGCGCGGUCUGGCAGGCCCCCCUCCGCACCCCAUUUGUGGCCAACCUUCCCACACACGGGGACAAGUUCUCCUCCUGCUCUGAGGUUCUUCACCCAUUGGUUCUCCAGGACCCUGGGACCUCCCCCUCCUUCCUACCUCCCUUCGAAUAUAAACACCUGGAGGCCUAUCCUUCAAAAUCUACCUCAAAUCCUCCCAAAAGGGGGUCUCAAAAGUACCUCAGGAUCCUCAGUUGAGAGCUGGGAAGGAUCCUAGAGAUGAAUGGAUCCAGUCCUCCUAUGUAGCAGAAGAAAGAGCUGACAUCUGGUGUGGAGACGAGUUUUGUUCAAAGGACUAUAGUAACCUCAGCCCUUGGUAAUCUUCCCUUCUCAGUCCUGCAGCCCCAGCGGGGCCCACAUCGAACCCCCCAUUUGGAUUCUACCUCCCAGCAUCUGGCUGCCUCUUAGGGAUGCUAAUCUCUGAGCCUCUGGCUAAGUAUGUAAACAAUAAAUGCUCAACGAUUGUCCAUAUUGGAUAUCCUUGACUUUGCUAUACUUAUCGUUCUUGCUACUCCUUUUACGAUAGUAUCUUAAGGUUUGCAAAAUGCUUUCCUCCCAAUAACCUGGUUCAACAGAUAGCACAGAGAUGAUUUCCAUUUUAGAUGAGGAAACUGAGACUCCAGGCUCAAACAGUGAUCAAAUGAGCAUUAGAGGUAGAU